RNAcentral lists this transfer RNA (66 nucleotides) under Argopecten irradians (bay scallop). RNAcentral's name for it is "tRNA-Ser". Lineage: Eukaryota; Metazoa; Mollusca; Bivalvia; Pectinida; Pectinidae. The record is from RNAcentral.
UUAAAACUCUUUUAAUAUACCUAAAGUUUAGAAAUUUUUGGCGUCUAGCUCACCCCCCUUUUUUUU